Molecule: small RNA, 17 nt
Filed under: Arabidopsis thaliana (thale cress)
Lineage: Eukaryota; Viridiplantae; Streptophyta; Magnoliopsida; Brassicales; Brassicaceae
Description: ATSL064280
Source: RNAcentral
UCUCCGUCAAUGUCGUU